RNAcentral lists this ribosomal RNA (635 nucleotides) under Leptolyngbya boryana HPU SD 11. RNAcentral's name for it is "bacterial SSU rRNA". It matches the Rfam family "Bacterial small subunit ribosomal RNA", at positions 125 to 806 of the family's 1533-position model. The record is from RNAcentral. Lineage: Bacteria; Bacillati; Cyanobacteriota; Cyanophyceae; Leptolyngbyales; Leptolyngbyaceae.
CCCGACUUAAUGGGGAACAGUUGGAAACGACUGCUAAUACCGAAUGUGCCUUAGGGUGAAAGAUUUAUUGUCUAGAGAUUGGCUCGCGUCAGAUUAGCUAGUUGGAGUGGUAACGGCACACCAAGGCACGAUCUGUACUUGGUCUGAGAGGAUGACCAGGCACACUGGAACUGAGACACGGUCCAGACUCCUACGGGAGGCAGCAGUGGGGAAUUUUCCGCAAUGGGCGAAAGCCUGACGGAGCAAUACCGCGUAGGGAGGACGGCUUUUGGGUUGUAAACCUCUUUUAUCAGGGAAGAAUCGAUGACGGUACCUGAUGAAUCAGCAUCGGCUAACUCCGUGCCAGCAGCCGCGGUAAUACGGAGGAUGCAAGCGUUAUCCGAAUUAUUGGGCGUAAAGCGUCCGUAGGUGGUUUAUCAAGUCUGCUGUCAAAGCGUGCGGCUUAACCGCAUAAGGGCAGUGGAAACUGAUGAACUAGAGUGCGAUAGGGGUAACAGGAAUUCCCAGUUAGCGGUGAAAUGCGUAGAUAUUGGGAAGAACACCAGCGGCGAAAGCGUGUUACUGGGUCUGCACUGACACUGAGGGACGAAAGCUAGGGGAGCGAAAGGGAUUAGAUACCCCUGGUAGUCAGGAAC